CACUGAUAACCGAGUUAUGGACAGAGAAAUACUCUUUUUUUAACGGCAAAUUAUAUUUACCUGUCAGAGUGACGAUUACUGACGUACAAAAUCGUGAAUAAUUAAUAAAUUUUAAAUAAUGUUGCGAGAAUGAACGUUUCUGCCGCUUGUAUCAUCUGUCUCGUGCCUUAUUCGGAAGACCUGGAAAUCGUUUCGCUCAGUUGUCAUCAUUGUUUUCACAGGAAUUGCAUCAAGGAAUGGCUCAAAAUUCGGAGUGAAUGUCCGCAAUGUCGAAAAUUAGUGAAACCUAAACAUCUGAAUCGAGUAAUACUGAGCUUUGAAAGUGGCGAAAAAUUCAUUUUUGAUGAAAAUUCACACAAAAUUGAUGACCUUGAACAACAAUUAUUGAGCAAAGAUAAAAUUUUGACCGAAACCGACACGGAAGUGCAACGAAUGCGUCAAAAAUUGAAAAAACAGGAAAAAAUUGAGGCAGAUCUCCGUCGACAAAUUAAAGUGAAAGAUGCAGUUAUAAAUCAGUCACUUUUCGAUGUGAGAGACAUUGAAAAGAUGCUUUUGGACUUGGAAAGCGCUUCAUUGACACAGUCAAAGGAAAAAGAGGAAGAAAUUAAGGAACUUACGUUGAGAUUAAAACUUCAAGAUCAACUAUUGCAAGAUUUUCAAAGCAAAUCUGAAGGAAAAUCAUCAGAAAAUGAAGAAAUUCGUGUUUUAGAGCGAAAAUUAAAAGAAACAACGAAAGAAUUGCAAAGUCUUCAGUCAAAAUUUGAUCAAAUAAUGUCAAUUGUGGAUAAGUUUAAGCUGGAAAAGGCCUGUGACAGCUUAUCAAAGGUUCAAAUUUCAUCAAAUGAGGUCAUUGAUCUUACAAUUGAUGAUUUGUUAUGAUUCAAUUCAACAAUUAAAGGAAUGUGAUGGAUAAAAAAGUUCAAUUCCUAUAAUAAAAUUUCACGAGGACUUGAUUUUUUGUAAAAAUUUAACAUAAUUUAACCAAAAACGAACGUAAAUAUUAAGAUUUUGUCUUAAAAAGGCUUUCAAGUCAAUUUUUUAUGUAACAGAGCAAAAAAUUUAGUUAAAUAUCCAAAUAUUCUUCAAUAUUUUCAAAAAAAAAUAAAAAUUUGUUAAUUUAGGCAACAAAAUUUACUUUAAAACUUUGAAAAUUUAAAAAAAUUAUCAAAAACUGAUAAAUUUCACACCAAAAAAGCCUCUGUACAAAAAUUUUCCGUUCCCACAAGUCGCGUCUCGCAAGAAAUCCACACGAAAAUCGAUAGUACAGUAAUUGCUUGCAGCAAAGAAAAUAUCCUGUUGUGCUAAUAACGUGCCUCGCAUCAAUAAAAUAAUCAAAACAAAACAUUAAUUACACGAAAAACUACAAAUACUGCGAACACUUAACACUUCCUCGAACACGGACUCGACUCGAUGAUGAUGAUGAUGUUGCUGGUCAAUAAAGAACGAACGGAACACGUGCCAGCUAUUUUUAUGCCACAAUCCUAUAUUUGGACUUUUGUUUCGUUUCUUUUCUACUCCUUUUAUGUUACCUCAUAAAAACAUAAACAUCGGCAGCCAAUGGGAAAAGUUUCACUCCUUUACUUUGCUCCGAUCAUCGGCAUAAUGAGAUGGAAUGCGGUCAGAAAUUAUAAUAAUUUUGGUAUUUUUCCGUGUAUUUUGUGGCUUCAAGGUGACGAGGACGACGGGAGAAGGGGAAAUAAAAUGAACCGGCAACUGACCUAUGCUGAGAACUCAUUUGAUUACAUUUUGCGUCGAAAAAUGGACAAAAAAGUUUAACGUGCAAUGACGUCAUUAUUUUUACAACAACCUCAUCAUCGUCGACGUAGAAGACUAAGGAACUUUUGGUGUAUCGUGCCGCAAAGCAAUCCGCUUUUAAUCUAAUUAUGUACGAAAAACAACCACAACACGGACGACUCGAAAUAACUGAUUAACAUAUCAAUUAUUAGCAUUUAUGGAACGAAGAACGAAGCGAAUCUCUAAUAUGUAUGAUUAACGGUUUGAUUGCCUCCUUUCGAAAUGCGUGCGUGUCGUCACUUUUAUAACGUAAUAAAGUGCGCCAUUAACUCUUUGCGUCACUUUCCUUCAAUCAAAACGAGUGAAUGACGAGUACACGACGACGACGGCAGGAUAUUAUUGAUUUAAUUUCUGAAACAUGUUGUUCCACUAAUUGACUUAGAUGAGUUAAAUUUAUUUAUUUUUUAUGCAAAUUUCAGUAAUGUUUACAGUGUAAUGUAAAGU
RNA transcript from Culicoides brevitarsis, 2238 nucleotides. It is a transcript of the gene named E3 ubiquitin-protein ligase TRAIP-like, with no coding region annotated. The record is from RefSeq and is a predicted model, not a curated record. Lineage: Eukaryota; Metazoa; Arthropoda; Insecta; Diptera; Ceratopogonidae. The transcript has 6 exons.